Molecule: ribosomal RNA, 551 nt
Filed under: Klebsiella pneumoniae
Lineage: Bacteria; Pseudomonadati; Pseudomonadota; Gammaproteobacteria; Enterobacterales; Enterobacteriaceae
Description: bacterial SSU rRNA
Rfam family: Bacterial small subunit ribosomal RNA
Source: RNAcentral
UGAGGCGUGGCUUCCGGAGCUAACGCGUUAAAUCGACCGCCUGGGGAGUACGGCCGCAAGGUUAAAACUCAAAUGAAUUGACGGGGGCCCGCACAAGCGGUGGAGCAUGUGGUUUAAUUCGAUGCAACGCGAAGAACCUUACCUGGUCUUGACAUCCACAGAACUUUCCAGAGAUGGAUUGGUGCCUUCGGGAACUGUGAGACAGGUGCUGCAUGGCUGUCGUCAGCUCGUGUUGUGAAAUGUUGGGUUAAGUCCCGCAACGAGCGCAACCCUUAUCCUUUGUUGCCAGCGGUCCGGCCGGGAACUCAAAGGAGACUGCCAGUGAUAAACUGGAGGAAGGUGGGGAUGACGUCAAGUCAUCAUGGCCCUUACGACCAGGGCUACACACGUGCUACAAUGGCAUAUACAAAGAGAAGCGACCUCGCGAGAGCAAGCGGACCUCAUAAAGUAUGUCGUAGUCCGGAUUGGAGUCUGCAACUCGACUCCAUGAAGUCGGAAUCGCUAGUAAUCGUAGAUCAGAAUGCUACGGUGAAUACGUUCCCGGGCCUCGU